RNAcentral lists this transfer RNA (71 nucleotides) under Marmota monax (woodchuck). RNAcentral's name for it is "tRNA.Val". It matches the Rfam family "tRNA". From Rfam's summary of the family: Transfer RNA (tRNA) molecules are approximately 80 nucleotides in length. Lineage: Eukaryota; Metazoa; Chordata; Mammalia; Rodentia; Sciuridae. The record is from RNAcentral.
GGGGUUGUAGCUCAGUGGCUGAGCACUCACCUCACAUGCGUGAGGCUCUGGGUUCGAUCCUCAGCACCACA